GGGUUGUGAGGUUAAGCGACUAAGCGUACACGGUGGAUGCCCUGGCAGUCAGAGGCGAUGAAGGACGUGCUAAUCUGCGAAAAGCGUCGGUAAGGUGAUAUGAACCGUUAUAGCCGGCGAUGUCCGAAUGGGGAAACCCAGUGCAAUUCGUUGCACUAUCGUUAACUGAAUACAUAGGUUAACGAGGCGAACCGGGGGAACUGAAACAUCUAAGUACCCCGAGGAAAAGAAAUCAACCGAGAUUCCCCCAGUAGCGGCGAGCGAACGGGGAGCAGCCCAGAGUCUGAAUCAGCUUGUGUGUUAGUGGAACGGUCUGGAAAGUCCGACGGUACAGGGUGAUAGUCCCGUACACCAAAAUGCACAGGUUGUGAACUCGAAGAGUAGGGCGGGACACGUGGUAUCCUGUCUGAAUAUGGGGGGACCAUCCUCCAAGGCUAAAUACUCCUGACUGACCGAUAGUGAACCAGUACCGUGAGGGAAAGGCGAAAAGAACCCCGGCGAGGGGAGUGAAAAAGAACCUGAAACCGUGUACGUACAAGCAGUGGGAGCACCUUCGGGUGUGACUGCGUACCUUUUGUAUAAUGGGUCAGCGACUUAUAUUCUGUAGCAAGGUUAACCGUAUAGGGGAGCCGCAGGGAAACCGAGUCUUAACUGGGCGUUAAGUUGCAGGGUAUAGACCCGAAACACGGUGAUCUAGCCAUGAGCAGGUUGAAGGUUGGGUAACACUAACUGGAGGACCGAACCGACUAAUGUUGAAAAAUUAGCGGAUGACUUGUGGCUGGGGGUGAAAGGCCAAUCAAACCGGGAGAUAGCUGGUUCUCCCCGAAAGCUAUUUAGGUAGCGCCUCGUGAAUUCAUCUUCGGGGGUAGAGCACUGUUUCGGCUAGGGGGUCAUCCCGACUUACCAACCCGAUGCAAACUACGAAUACCGAAGAAUGUUAUCACGGGAGACACACGGCGGGUGCUAACGUCCGUCGUGAAGAGGGAAACAACCCAGACCGCCAGCUAAGGUCCCAAAGUCAUGGUUAAGUGGGAAACGAUGUGGGAAGGCACAGACAGCCAGGAUGUUGGCUUAGAAGCAGCCAUCAUUUAAAGAAAGCGUAAUAGCUCACUGGUCGAGUCGGCCUGCGCGGAAGAUGUAACGGGGCUAAACCAUGCACCGAAGCUGCGGCAGCGACACUAUGUGUUGUUGGGUAGGGGAGCGUUCUGUAAGCCUGCGAAGGUGUGCUGUGAGGCAUGCUGGAGGUAUCAGAAGUGCGAAUGCUGACAUAAGUAACGAUAAAGCGGGUGAAAAGCCCGCUCGCCGGAAGACCAAGGGUUCCUGUCCAACGUUAAUCGGGGCAGGGUGAGUCGACCCCUAAGGCGAGGCCGAAAGGCGUAGUCGAUGGGAAACAGGUUAAUAUUCCUGUACUUGGUGUUACUGCGAAGGGGGGACGGAGAAGGCUAUGUUAGCCGGGCGACGGUUGUCCCGGUUUAAGCAUGUAGGCUGGUUAUCCAGGCAAAUCCGGAUAAUCAAGGCUGAGGUGUGAUGACGAGGCACUACGGUGCUGAAGUAACAAAUGCCCUGCUUCCAGGAAAAGCCUCUAAGCAUCAGGUAACAUCAAAUCGUACCCCAAACCGACACAGGUGGUCAGGUAGAGAAUACCAAGGCGCUUGAGAGAACUCGGGUGAAGGAACUAGGCAAAAUGGUGCCGUAACUUCGGGAGAAGGCACGCUGGUGUGUAGGUGAAGUCCCUGCGGAUGGAGCUGAGACCAGUCGAAGAUACCAGCUGGCUGCAACUGUUUAUUAAAAACACAGCACUGUGCAAACACGAAAGUGGACGUAUACGGUGUGACGCCUGCCCGGUGCCGGAAGGUUAAUUGAUGGGGUUAUCCGUAAGGAGAAGCUCUUGAUCGAAGCCCCGGUAAACGGCGGCCGUAACUAUAACGGUCCUAAGGUAGCGAAAUUCCUUGUCGGGUAAGUUCCGACCUGCACGAAUGGCGUAAUGAUGGCCAGGCUGUCUCCACCCGAGACUCAGUGAAAUUGAACUCGCUGUGAAGAUGCAGUGUACCCGCGGCAAGACGGAAAGACCCCGUGAACCUUUACUAUAGCUUGACACUGAACAUUGAGCCUUGAUGUGUAGGAUAGGUGGGAGGCUUUGAAGCGUGGACGCCAGUCUGCGUGGAGCCAACCUUGAAAUACCACCCUUUAAUGUUUGAUGUUCUAACGUUGGCCCCUGACCGGGGUUGCGGACAGUGUCUGGUGGGUAGUUUGACUGGGGCGGUCUCCUCCCAAAGCGUAACGGAGGAGCACGAAGGUUAGCUAAUCCUGGUCGGACAUCAGGAGGUUAGUGCAAUGGCAUAAGCUAGCUUGACUGCGAGCGUGACGGCGCGAGCAGGUGCGAAAGCAGGUCAUAGUGAUCCGGUGGUUCUGAAUGGAAGGGCCAUCGCUCAACGGAUAAAAGGUACUCCGGGGAUAACAGGCUGAUACCGCCCAAGAGUUCAUAUCGACGGCGGUGUUUGGCACCUCGAUGUCGGCUCAUCACAUCCUGGGGCUGAAGUAGGUCCCAAGGGUAUGGCUGUUCGCCAUUUAAAGUGGUACGCGAGCUGGGUUUAGAACGUCGUGAGACAGUUCGGUCCCUAUCUGCCGUGGGCGCUGGAGAAUUGAGGGGGGCUGCUCCUAGUACGAGAGGACCGGAGUGGACGCAUCACUGGUGUUCGGGUUGUCAUGCCAAUGGCACUGCCCGGUAGCUAAAUGCGGAAGAGAUAAGUGCUGAAAGCAUCUAAGCACGAAACUUGCCCCGAGAUGAGUUCUCCCUGAGACUUUAAGUCUCCUGAAGGAACGUUGAAGACGACGACGUUGAUAGGCCGGGUGUGUAAGCGCAGCGAUGCGUUGAGCUAACCGGUACUAAUGAACCGUGAGGCUUAACCUUACAACGCCGAAG
Molecule: ribosomal RNA, 2923 nt
Filed under: Klebsiella pneumoniae subsp. pneumoniae
Lineage: Bacteria; Pseudomonadati; Pseudomonadota; Gammaproteobacteria; Enterobacterales; Enterobacteriaceae
Description: bacterial LSU rRNA
Rfam family: Bacterial large subunit ribosomal RNA
Source: RNAcentral